UGUUCCCCAAUAUACUAAAAUUGGAACGAUACAGAGAAGAUUAGCAUGGCCCCUACAUGCAAAUUUUUAAAAGCUAAGUAAUUUGGAUUUUU
This is a small nuclear RNA of Mesocricetus auratus (golden hamster), 92 nucleotides long. Lineage: Eukaryota; Metazoa; Chordata; Mammalia; Rodentia; Cricetidae. The record is from Ensembl.